GUCCCUGUAGCAUAAUGGAUAGCGCAUUGGACUUUUAAUCCAAAGGUCAUGCAUUCGAAUUCCACCUGGGAUG
Non-coding RNA from Trichonephila clavipes, 73 nucleotides. NCBI's taxonomy places the organism in Eukaryota, Metazoa, Arthropoda, Arachnida, Araneae, Nephilidae. The record is from the annotation of a GenBank genome assembly.